RNAcentral lists this ribosomal RNA (253 nucleotides) under uncultured bacterium. Its description in RNAcentral is "partial 16S ribosomal RNA". It matches the Rfam family "Bacterial small subunit ribosomal RNA", at positions 524 to 776 of the family's 1533-position model. The record is from RNAcentral.
UACGUAGGGGGCAAGCGUUGUCCGGAUUUAUUGGGCGUAAAGAGCGUGUAGGCGGCUUUACAGGUCCGUUGUGAAAACUCGAGGCUCAACCUCGAGCUGUCGGUGGAAACCGUAAGGCUAGAGUCCGGAAGAGGAGAGUGGAAUUCCUGGUGUAGCGGUGAAAUGCGCAGAUAUCAGGAAGAACACCCGUGGCGAAGGCGGCUCUCUGGGACGGUACUGACGCUGAGACGCGAAAGCGUGGGGAGCGAACAGG